This 11306-nucleotide long non-coding RNA is filed under the name Lathyrus oleraceus (garden pea). Its description in RNAcentral is "Pisum sativum (pea) long non-coding RNA (PSAT_LNC020434)". Lineage: Eukaryota; Viridiplantae; Streptophyta; Magnoliopsida; Fabales; Fabaceae. The record is from RNAcentral.
UAACUUUGAGGUUUUGACGCAGUAGGAGCUCACGUUAAGUCCAGCUUAUGCAGUGUUGAUAAAUUAAUAAUAUUUACAAAGCUGUAUCAAUCCAAGAUUAUUAUACAAGCUGAAAGAACAAAAGAUAUAGAUGUCAACAAUCAAUGUAAUAGUCGAUUCAAAUUACUAUGCAAAAUUAAUUUAUCAUUCCAAUUAAUAUACUGUAACUAAUAGCUGCCAGAAUUAAUAUAAUAAUCCAAAGUCAACAUUCUCAUAAUCCAAUACCUUAAAACCGAAUCGGAAUACUAACACGCACAUAAAUGAAAACAAUGCUGCAAGAUUAUAAUACCAACCUAAGAUUAAGUUCUGCAAAAUCGAAUUAGGCCCUUGUAUACAAACACUUUAAGUACACCAUUCUCUAGCAGACCAAGAGGGAAAUCCGACAAAAAAGACAGUAACUCUUCAUUGUGAAGUACCAAUAUCAGAACUAGAACUUUAAAUCCUUAAGUUUAUGAAGUAGCAAACAAAAUAGCAGCAGGAAAAUCCGGUACACUAGAAACAAAUGAACAAAUCUGUCAUCGUGCUAAAACAAUAAAAAACAGCAUAAGUCCAACCGCUCAUAAUAACGGGACCUGAUCGUACCGGACCUGCACACCAACAGCGGCAUCCGACUGUUUGCAACUCUAAGGUGACAUCAAUAUACACCGAUGAAACGUCCUUCACCCAGAUCCAAAACUCAAUUAAAUACAACAAUGAAAAAAUAUAUUCAAAGCAACCUCAAAGGAUGAAUAAAAAAAAAAAAAACCAGCUCUUUAUUUUAUAAUCCUAAAACAAACAAAACAUUAGUCAUCAAAGUGACCUCAUAAAGAAAUCAGAAAUCUGACCACAAGAUAGAAAUGUAAUGGAUUUUUUUAAAAAAAAGGUAUAAUGAAUCGCAUAGUGAGGAGGUAAUACUUAAAGUUGAUUUGAAAUUUUACCGGCAGAAACAUAACUUCGGUUACACACGCAUACGUAGGGAUUCCGUCAACUCUUCGGAUUUACUGGCUAAUUUCUUGGCGGAGAGAUCGCCGGAAAACGAACAGCGCGCAGCGGAGCAGGUUGGAGGGUCGUUGGCGGAGCUUUGUGGUUUGUGAUGAUGGAGGUGAGCGUUGGUUUGUAGAUCUAUGAGUUUUGUGGGUUUGUCCAGAAGGGUCCCUUGGAAUAUGAACGCAGAGCCUCUUUUAUUGAGAGAGAGGAAAGUGGAUUUCUCUUCUCUUCUUUUUCUUUUCCGUUGGUUAAUAGAGAGAGUGUAUUGUGAUGGUGAGGUAGAGUGGAUAGAGGAUACUCUAAGAGAGAGAUGGGUGGGUCUUUCGUGUGACCGUUGGGGAGUGUGGUGAGAGAAGAGGAAAUCCAGUGCAUAAGAGAAACAUGUGUGGAUUAUGAGUGGGACUUUCUUGGGAUAAGAUUGAUGAGCUGUCCAUAGAAUCCAAUGUAAAUUUUUUUUUGUUUGCAUACAAUUAAUAUUCAUUUAAGAAAGUAAACUCAUAAAUUUUUUAAUUAAUAUUUAAUUUAAAUAAAUUCUAAUUGUUUUAAUUAAAUAAUAAAAGAAAACAAAAUAGUGAUCGAUUAUAAAUAGAAACAGGAUAAAAAUUUGAUCAAAAAAAUAAAUAAAUCGGACACACUAAAAUGAUCAGCACAAAAUAUACUUAUUGAAAAAAACAACGUCUCUUUUAAUUUCGAAAUAAAUUUCACCGGUUAAAAGACUCAAACGGAUUAAAAUGCAGCUGAACAAGUUACCAAAAAAUAUUACGAGCACACCAGCCUAAACUACGUGAACCGUAGAUUAAUAAUACUGACGUCUGCAAAUUUAAUUUCAAAACUUUUUACCCGCUGAUUUUGCACGUACUUGAGAAAUGAUUUAACCAAAAACUACGUGAACCGUAGAUUAAUAAUACUGACGUCUGCAAAUUUAAUUUCAAAACUUUUUACCCGCUGAUUUUGCACGUACUUGAGAAAUGAUUUAACCAAUUUGUCUGUAUUUUCAAUAAAUUUAUUCUGAUUGAUAUUUUAGGUUUUAUUUAUGAUGAAAUGCAUUUUAUGUUGUACAACUGAUGCAAAUUGAAAUAAAAAUCGAAUUUAUGAAAAUUUAAAUAUGGCCGGACAAAAUUGGGGUGUGACAGCUGCCCCUAUUUAAUUAACUUGAACCAGAAGGUAAGAUUGACAACAGUCUUCAUACCUUCGUAGUGGAAGGUAAUUAAAUACGAAAAGACCCAAAUUUUGUCCUUUUAAAUGCAAGGAAGAAAUGCAGAAAGAAAUGCAGUGAGAAAUACAGUAAGACACAUUUUUAGAAGGUAAAAUGAAACAGUCAAGACUCUCUGGGAAUCGUCAAAACAGUAUCUUGGAUGUCAUAAUCGAGAUAUUCCAAUAAUGGAAUGAUACCUCAACUGUAUCAAAGACUUUCUGAUAAUUAGCAUAACAGUGUCUUGAUUUGAACGCACGAGAUUCUCUGGGGAUCAACGAAGCAGUAUCUUACAUGAUAUAAUCGAGAUAUUCCAUCAAGGGAAUGGUACCUUAAUCGUAUCUAAGAUUCUUCGAGGAUACUAGAGCAGUACCUCUAAAAAUGAAUGAGACUCUUCAUAUUAAUGAAGCAGCAUCUCAAACAGCAAAAUGAGACUCUCUGUAUCGAAUCGAAACAGCAUCUUAUAUGAUAGAAUUAAGAUAUUCCGAACAAGGGAAUGAUACCUUAAUUGAAUCUAAGACUCUUCAAGGAUACUAGAGCAGUAUCUCAAAAAAAAACUGGAAUGAGACUCUUCAUAUUGAUGAAGCAGUAUCUCAAACAGCAAAAGAUGAGAUUCUUUGUAUCGAGUCGAAGCAGCAUCUUAUAUGAUAAGAUUAAGAUAUUUCAGCAAGGGAAAAAUACCUUAAUUGAAUCUAAGACUCUCCGAGGAUAUUAGAGCAGUAUCUCUAAAAAGAUCUGAAAUGAGACUCUUCAUAUUGAUGAAGCAGUAUCUCAAACAGUAAAAAUGAGAUUCUCUGUAUCGAGUCGAAGCAGCAUCUUAUAUGAUAGAAUUAAGAUAUUUGGAACAAGGGGAAUGAUACCUUAAUUGAAUCUAAGACUCUCCGAGGAUACUUAGAGCAGUAUCUCUAAAAAUAAUCUGAAAUGAGACUCUUCAUAUUGAUGAAGCAGCAUCUCAAACAGUAAAAAUGAGAUUCUCUGUAUCGAGUCGAAACAACAUCUUAUAUGAUAGAAUUAAGAUAUUCCGAACAAGAGAAUGAUACCUUAAUUGAAUCUAAGACUCUCCGAGGAUAUUAGAGCAGUAUCUCUAAAAAAAUCUGAAAUGAGACUCUUCAUAUUGAUGAAGCAGUAUCUCAAACAGUAAAAAUGAGAUUCUCUGUAUCGGGUUGAAGCAGCAUCUUAUAUGAUAUAAUUAAGAUGUUCCAGCAAUGGAAAAAUACCUUAAUUGAAUCUAAGACUCUCCAAGGAUACUUAGAGCAGUAUCUCUAGAAAACAAAUGAGAUUCUUCAAAUUGAUGAAGCAGUAUCUCAAACAGAGAGAUGAGAUUCUUCAGAUAAAUGAAGCAGUAUCUCGAAUAUUCGUCUGUUGGGGGAAUUAGAGCAGUAUCUCUAGAAAACAAAUGAGAUUCUUCAAAUUGAUGAAGCAGUAUCUCAAACAGAGAGAUGAGAUUCUUCAGAUAAAUGAAGCAGUAUCUCGAAUAUUCGUCUGUUGGGGGAAUUUUUGAAAAGACUCCUUUUGAGGGAGAUUUACUAGAAAUGCUCUGCAGGGGAAAAAACUCAUAAGAUACUUUUUAGGGUAACCUCUGUUUGGGGAGCAAUGAUUGUAAAGAAAAAUGCUGGGAAUAUCAUUAUUAAUCAUAAAGUUUGAAAAAUGAUCUGUUGAGAAAUAAUCCCACGAGCAUAUGCAGGGUAAUAACUUCAUUUGGAAAUGAGGAAUGUCCAAGAUACACACAAAUAACCUUGGAUCCUGAUAUUUUACUUUUGAUUUUUGUAUGAUGUCCCACUUUAGGUGGGAAUACCAUACAUGCAAGUAUGCAAUUGCUGGGGAUAUUUGGUUGUGCAUGUAGGAAUGCGAAUGAUAUUUAUUUUGUAUAAGGUUAUGCAUAAGUAUGUUGAUGAUCGAUAUGACUGUGUUUUUUUUUUUUGAAUUUUCUGUUUGGUAGGAAAACCAUUUAUGAAUGAUUCAUAUGAUGCAUAUGGGAAUGCAAAUGGGUAAUUGGAUGUUUUUGUAGGGUUUAAUUCUUGAUUGCCAAUGAGGUUGGACUUUAAAUGGGAACUGCCGGAUGAGAAUUGGUGAAGGAGAUUGAACUGCCAAAUGAGGACAACACUUGAAGGAUAUGAUACCAGCUGCGAACUGGUGAAAAUAAUUGAAAUGUCAGACGAGACUGAAUUUGUUUUUGUUUGUCAGACAAGAACUGAUUUUUAAAGUAGGCUACCAGACGAGAACUGGUGAAAAUAAUUGACUACCAGACGAGAACUGUAUCAUAAUAGGUGACCUACCAGACGGAGACUGCGUAUUAAGAGAAAUUUAGCCAGACGAGAACUGGUAUUUGUGCAAAUGAUUUGUCGUACAAGAACUGAUUUUUGAUAUAGUUUCCAGACGGGAACUGGACUUUGAAUAAGUUGUCAGACGAGAACUGAACUUGAAAUAAGUUGCAGAGCGGAACUGGGCUUUGAAAUGAAUUUCCAGACGAGAACUGGUUUUAAGUAAGUUGCCAGACGGGAACUGGCUUUGGAAUAAGUUUCCAGACGGGAACUGACUUUGAAAUAAAUUGCCAGAUGAGAACUGGACUUUGAAAUGGCCAACGGUGUUGGCUUUGGUGUCAGAUUUAGGUUCAAGUUUUUUGAUGUCAGGUUCAUGUUAUGGGUUAUGUCUGAUAAAUGAUAUGAUAUGCAUGGCUUUAUGCUAGAGCAAAGCGACAUGACUAAUGCAUGAUGAUGAUUUAUGUAAUGAUUGGAAGGUUUCCAAAAUGCCCCUGCGCGGUUAUUGGAAGAGAAGGUUUUUUUUUUGCAGAAAGGCUUUUGUUUGUCAAAAGGUUAUUUUAUGGGGUGAUAGCGUGAUUCCCCGACACUCAUCUUGAACUCUGCAGUUGAUGACGUGUGAAAAAGCUUUUGCUUGAACUGCUUGAAAACAUGGAGAGGACUCGCUCCUGUAUGGCUCAUCUUGCCCCAAUCUGAUGGGUCUAUGCAAAAUGUUUGCCUCGAAAGGAUUUUGAAAGCAAUUGUAUCGUAAUUUGGAGAUGGAUUGCCCCAGAAUUUUGAUCCAUGAAAGGAUUUAUCCUUGGUUAACCGACUCUUGGAGUGGUUGACUUUUCUGUGCUCUUGAGGUAGUUUGCCCCGAUAUGAGCGUUGAAGCGACUUAACUCACCCUAACUGAACAUUGGAGGGGUCUUCUCCUGGCCAACAGAACCUCUAGGUGAUCUGCCCCUAGUUAAUAGAGUCCUGAGAUGAUUUGCUCUGGAUCAAACAAUUCUUGAAAUGACUUGCCCCUGAUUAACAGAUGUUUGGAGAUUGUUUUAAGACUGGCCAAUUCGUGGAGUAAUCUUCCCAUGAUCAACUGAUGUUUAAGUGGCAUGCCCCUGAUUCAUGGGUUAUGAGGUAGUCUUGAUUCGGGUUAGCACCAACGAAUGUCCAAGUUCCUCUAAUUGUUCCCUAUUGUUGGAAUUUCCCUGACGUCAAGUACUAACUUGCAGUUAAAAUUGUUUGUUCAGAAACGGUAAUUUUAAUGCGAUACUUAUGCAGGUUUUGAAAAGAAUUAUUAUUGAAAUGAUGUGAUAGUGUGUGACGAGUGGACCAUGAGUCCAGAUGUAAUGCUGAUUUAGCAAUUUAAAGUGUGAAAGACACAGCGAGAAUAAUGACAUCGAUGUUGAAUAUUAGCAAAUCUUUAGGAGUCAGUUUACGCAACUUUGCUGUAAUAUGCUUUCGGAAAUAACCCUACCUCAAUUAGGUCUUUUGAGGGUUGUAACGUGGCUUGGUUCAUGGUUAUUGAAAUCUUUAGGAGUCAGUUUACGCAACUUUGCUGUAAUAUGCUUUCGGAAAUAACCCUACCUCAAUUAGGUCUUUUGAGGGUUGUAACGUGGCUUGGUUCAUGGUUAUUGAAACAAAAGGAUAUAAGGCGCAAAGUUUAUUUUAACCCACCCAUUCUUCACAAUGAUCUAUAAUCCUAUGCUCAGUUAAUUCAACAUACACAUUCGUAUUUUUUGAAGGUGUAAGGAUAAAGAUGAUGAUUCAAGGUCUCUUGAAAUGGCAGUCACCUUAUUUCAUUUUCUGGAUGUCGGUGACCCUUUGAUUCUUGAUAUGGUGGUCACUAAGUCUUAUUCUGUUGAGGGUUUUCGUGACCUCUUUUGAUUUUUGUUUUGAUCCCUAACUUUUGCAUGGACCGCCUUUUGAAGCUUUAGUCCAUCGGGAUUGCCCCAGUUUUUGCCUAAGUCGCCUCUUGGGUAUCGACUUAGCGGGCUUUUUCAUUGAUUCUAUUUUUGAUAGGUUGUGACUGCCAAGUCAAUGGUCAUUGAAGGACAAACGCCAUAACUUUUUAAUUUUCCAAGGUUCCUUCGACACUUCAGGAUGUGUGCGAAGAAUGUCAUGUAGUUGAUCCACAGACAGGAUAUUUCAUCUUGUAAUUUGAAUGUGUAGUCAGAUUAGCUGAACACUACCCUGCCCCAAUUUCCAAGGUUCCUUCGACACUUCAGGAUGUGUGCGAAGAAUGUCAUGUAGUUGAUCCACAGACAGGAUAUUUCAUCUUGUAAUUUGAAUGUGUAGUCAGAUUAGCUGAACACUACCCUGCCCCAGGCUUAAUGUAAGGUUUUUUUUUAAUCCAAAAGAAACUCCUACUCCUAGGCUCAAAGUGGUUGACUAGGGAUUAACUCCUUAUCUCUUCAGUGUUUGGGAAUUUGAAACAAUGCCUGUACAUCAUCAGCAGGAUUUUAUCUGAAAGCAUAUAGUCAGCAAUUAUGGGUAUCUUGUUUUCGUCAUCCUCCCUCAAAUCUUUGCUAAAAAAAGUUAUGAUAAAGAAAAGUGAAUGGGAGAAAUAAUGAUGUAUUUUUUUGUUUUUGAUAUAAGUGAAAAAAAAUGAGCGAAUGCGAGAUAAUUAAUUCAAAACAUGCAUCAUUACUUCAUCAAUAUUACCAUUAAAAACAACAAUGUUUAAACACAAGCAGCUUUUAACAACAAAGAAACUACAAAUGCAAGACUUUUAAUAUCAUGAUAAAAAUUAAAAUAAUAACAUGGAAAAUUUAUUUAUUCAAUCUGACUAUUGACGAAAGAACAAAAUUAAAACGACUAAAAUGAAUAAAAGUCGGCAAAAUUUGCUCAAAAAAUUAAAUCGAUGCAUGAGAAUGACAGUCAAAUAACUUUGAAAAAUACAGCGUUUCUUCUUAAAUUCUAAAAGCUAAGCGGGUCAAAACGCAAUGAAACAACUGCUGAAAAAUACAACAAGCACACCAGGUUAAAUCAUGAACUGUAGAUUAAUAAUACUAGUGUCUAUAAUUUUAAUCUGAAACUUUUUACCCGCACUGUUUCAUGUCUUGAGAAAUGAUUAACCCAAUUCUGUAUUUUCAAUAAAUUUUUCUGAAUGAUAUUUUAGGUUAUUCAUGAGAAAUGCAGUCAUGUUGUGCGUAUGAUCAAAUUAAAAAUGAAUCAGAUUUCUAAAAUUAAAUAUGCCGGACAAAAUUGGCCGUAUGACAGCUGCACCUAUUUAAUUACAUUGAACCAGAAGUAAGAAUACAAAUCUUUUCAUACAUUUAGGGAAGGUAUUAAAUAGCGAAAGACCCAAAUUUUGUCCUUUGAAAGAAGGAAGAAAAUAUAGAAGAAAAUGCAGUGAGAAAUAGUGAGAGACGUUAUCCUAAAGUAAAAUGGAACAGCCAAGACUUUCGGGAGUCGUCGAACAAUAUCUUGGACGUCAUGUCGUAAUGUUAGUAAUAGACUACAUCCUAGCUAAAUCUCAAGACUUUUCCAGGAUGCUAGAGCAGUAUAAAGAAAAUCUGGCAUGAGACUCUUCAUAUUGAUGAAGCAAGCAUCCAACAGUAAAAGUGAGAUUCUGUAUCGAGUCGAAGCAGCAUCUAUAUGAUAGAAUUAAAAUAUUCCAGCAAGGGAAAAAAACUUUAAUUUAAUCUAAGACUCUCCGAGGAUAUUAGAGCAAUAUCUCAAAAAAAGAAUUCUGAAAUGAGACUCUUCAUAUUGAUGAAGCAGCGUCUCAAACAUAAAAUGAGAUUCUCUGUAUCGGAUCGAAACAACAUCUUAUAUAAAAAUAAGAUAUUCGAACAGGGAAUGAUACCUUAAUGAAUCUAAGACCUCUCGAGGAUAUUAAGAGAGUAUCUCUAAAAAAAUCUGAAAUGAGACUCUUUAUAUUGAUGAAGCAACAUCUCAAACAGUAAAAAGUGAGAUUCUCGUAUCGGUCGAAACAACAUCUUAUAUGAUAAAAUUAAAAUAUUCAGCAAGGGAAAAUACUUUAAUUGAAUCUAAGACUCUCCGAGGCUACUUAGCAGUACCUCUAAAAAAUCUGAAAUGAGACUCUUCAUAUUGAUAAGCAGUAUCUCAAACAGUAAAAAUCGAAUCUCUGUAUCGAGUCAACAGCAGCAUCUUACAUGAUAGAAUUAAGAUAUUCCAACAAGGGAAAGAUACCUUAAUUGAAUCUAAGCAUCUCCGAGGAUACUUAGAGCAGUAUCUCUAAAAAAAAUCUGAAAUGAGACUCUUCAUAUUGAUGAAGUAGUAUCUCAAACAGUAAAAAUGAGAUUCUCUGUAUCGAGUCGAAGCAUCAUCUUAUAUGAUAGAAUUAAGAUAUUCCAAACAAGGAAUGAUACCUUAAUUGAAUCUAAGACCUCUCGAGGAUAUUAGAGCAGUUACCCUAAAAAAGAAUCUGAAAUGAGACUCUUCAUAUUGAUGAAGCAGUAUCUCAAACAGUAAAAAUGAGAUUCUCGUAUCGGGUCGAAGCAGCAUCUUAUACGAUGAAUUAAGAUGUUCCAGCAGGAAGAAAAAAUACCUUAAUGAAUAUAAGACUCUCCGAGAUAUUAGAGCAGUAUCUCUAAAUAAUCUGAAAUGAACUCUUCAUAUUGAUGAAGCAGUAUCUCAGAUAGAAAAAUGAGAUUCUCUGCUAGCGAGUCGAAAACAGCAUCUAUAUGAUAGAAUUAAGAUAUCCAACAAGGGAAUGAACCUUAAUUGAACUAAGACUCUCCGAGGAUAUUAGAGCAGUAUCUCUAAAAUAAUCUGAAAUGAGACUCUUCAUAUUGAUGAAGCAGUAUCUCAAACAGUAAAAAAAUGAGAUUCUCUGUCGCAUCUCGAAAAUACGAUUCCUCGCGAUGGUCGCGGAAAAAUUAACAUUCAAACAAGGUCGCCACCGACUUAUAUUAUCCCAAUGAAGGGAUAGGAAAUAUCGAUAAACCUUAGGAAAUAGAAUAAUGGUCGUCGCAACCAUAUUCGGUUCGGAGUGGAUUAGCAAGGGGAAGGUAUGAGCACCCUUACGUCCGUUGUACUCAACGGGAACCUUUUAGUUCUAAUUUGUAUUCGUGUGUUAAUUUAUGUUUGUUUGAUAUAUCUUCCGGGUUAUAAAUAUAUUGAAAUAGAAAUGAGGAACCUCAGAAAGGAGAAAUGGGAGGUUUUUUAUUAGUGUGCUCCGAAAGAUACAGCAAUCUCCGCUACGUAUCCUUAUGGUGAUAAGGAAAUCAGAGCAUUCGUAGUUCGGAGACACGGUUUGUUGGUGUCUUUUAAUGAACGACUGUUUAGAUCGUGUUCUAAAGGCUAAACUGUUUGUCUACUCUCGGGGGAGGCUUAAGCACUAGUUUGUUGUGCGCAUUAGAAAAGAUUAAACAAGUUCUUUCUGAAAAAGUUUUGGUCACACGAGGUGGAUGGGUUGAUUAUGUUGGAUAUUUUGAUUGGUUUCGAUCGCACAGAGGGCAGAAAAGUAGAUUUGAUGUGUUAAGGUAUUUUGGUUGGAUGACGAUUACUCGGAUAGUCGAGUAAGAAAACUCGUAUCCUAAAUCGGAAAGGGAAUAGAAGACUCUAGACCACUUUCUGUUUUAUCUGAGUAAUUCUGAAAAGGAUUGGAUAUAAUUAAGGUGUUUUGAACGAUGACGAUUACUCGAUGGUCGAGUAAAACAACUCGUAUCCUAAUAAUCGAGAAGAGGAAUAGAAGACUCUAACACUCUCUGUUUCAUCUGAGUAUUUAUGAAAUAAGUGGUAUAUGGUUGACGUAUUUAGAAAGAACGACAAAUACUUGAAUGACUGAGUUAAACAACUCAUAUUCAAGCAUUGAGAAGAGGAAUUGAAAACUCAAGACCAUCUCCCUUUUCGUAUAGUUUUGAUUUUGAGAAUAAUUUGACUUAUGUAUAAGUUGAUGGAAAAUGAAAAUUGUUCAGUUGACGCCGAGUAAGAGACUCGUAUUCAAACAAUUGAGGAGAGAAGUUGAAAACUCAAAGUCAUCUCCCUUUUCAUUUAAAAUCUCAAUUUAACACAAUACAAUGGAAACAAAUUAUAUUUACAAAGUUCAUAAUAAGUUGGAAAAAACCAAUGAUGCAUUAUAUAAUCGGUCAAAAAUUUAUGUACACUAUAAUGUUUCAACAAACAACUAACAACAUAAUUACAUUUUUUUUAGCAAUCGUGUCAAUAUAAUUAAAAUAUUAUAAUUAAUUAACUCAGAAUUAUGACUACUACUAUUCAUGUGCUAUAUAUAACCAAAAUAUAAUUAAAAUCUAUGUACUACUACUCAGAAUUAUGAUUACUACUAUUCAGUGCCAUAACAUAACCAAAAUAUAAUUAAAAUCUAUGUACUACUACUCAGAAUUAUAUUACUAUUCAUAUGCUAUAAUUUACUCUUCAUUUAAAAUAUAAUCAAAAUUUAUGUACUAUAAUAUAACCAAAAUAUUAUAAUUACUACUAUCCACUGCUACUUACUUAGAACGUAAACCAAUUAACUCAGAAUUUUGAACAAAUACAAGAAAAUAGGCUUUAACUUUGAGUUUUGACAGUAGGAGCUCACGUUUAAGUCCAGCUUAUGCAGUGUGAUAAAUUAAUAAUAUUACAAAGCUGUAUCAAUCCAAGAUUAUUAUACAAGCUGAACAGAACAAUAUAUAUUAGUUCAAAAUUCAAUCAAUGUAAUAGUCCAAUUAAAAUUACUAUGCAAAAUUAAUUUAUCAUUCCAAUUAAUAUACUGUAACUAAUAGCUGCCAGAAUUAUAUAAUAAUCCAAAGUCAACAUUCUCAUAAUCCAAUACCUUAAAACCAAUCGAAUACUAACACGCACAUAAAUAAAACAAUGCUGCAAGAUUAUAAUACCAACCUAAGAUUAAGUUCUGCAAAAUCGAAUUAGGCCCUUGUAUACAAACACUUUAAGUACACCAUUCU